This 56-nucleotide microRNA precursor is filed under the name Jaculus jaculus (lesser Egyptian jerboa). RNAcentral's name for it is "miRNA (ENSJJAG00000001172.1)". The record is from RNAcentral. Lineage: Eukaryota; Metazoa; Chordata; Mammalia; Rodentia; Dipodidae.
CGGAGCCAUUUCUCCUGCCUAGAAAGUAGCUUUUAAGGGCUGGAGAGAUGGCUUAG